Spinacia oleracea (spinach) is the source of this 300-nucleotide long non-coding RNA. RefSeq lists it as uncharacterized. NCBI's taxonomy places the organism in Eukaryota, Viridiplantae, Streptophyta, Magnoliopsida, Caryophyllales, Amaranthaceae. The transcript has 3 exons. The record is from RefSeq and is a predicted model, not a curated record.
GGAACUAAGUGACUUGAAUUCAAAAAGGGCAAAAAAGAAUACUUCAAGAUAUCGUGGAGGUCGAAAAGGGUACUUGUAUUAUGAAGCAGAGAUUGCUGACGAGCUUCAGAAACAAGAAAUCCAAGUUGCUGAUGUGCCUCGACAUCUGGUUUGGAUAAGAGCCCACUCUAGAGAAGAAAAUGGUGUGAUAACCUUUGACAAUCCCGUCGAUUUGGAAAUAGCUAAAGCAAUUAAAGUAUUAGAGGCACAACAAAUCCAAGGAGAAAUUGAUGCCAUUGGCCGAAAUGAUAUCCUAGCAAG